Long non-coding RNA from Aquila chrysaetos chrysaetos, 500 nucleotides. RefSeq lists it as uncharacterized. Lineage: Eukaryota; Metazoa; Chordata; Aves; Accipitriformes; Accipitridae. The transcript is spliced from 3 exons. The record is from RefSeq and is a predicted model, not a curated record.
GAGAGAGGAAGUAAGCAGCACGAGGAGAAACUAAGAGAUUCCUUACAGAUUCAAGUAUGGCAGUGUUUUAACUAUGUGUACUGGAAGAAUGAUUGCAAAUUGAAAUGACUUUGUAACGAAGCCUGAGUUAGCAAAAAAAAAAAAAAAAGGAAGAGAAAAGGAAUAUUCAUUUUUCUGAAAUUAGCAGAAAGAAUAACACUUGGAGAAAACAUUUAUCAUUAUGUCAGCAAGGAGGUAAUGUUGAAGAUAGUUUCUACGUGUCUGAGAGAUGGACAGACACAACCUUUAUGGAGUGCCUGAGAGUUUGAGCUACCACACGUAGAUACCGCCAUCAAGAUUUCUACUCCAGCUGAUGGUUGGUGAGGAAUAGUGUGAACAGAGACUUCCUCAGGGAAUGAAGAUCUUGUUUUCGUGACAGCUUCUCCAAAUUUUUUUUUUAAAAUACAUAAAAAGGAAGGGAGUAUAAUUAUGCAGAAAUCUGGCUAAGCAUAAUUGCUAUU